This is a long non-coding RNA of Balaenoptera ricei (Rice's whale), 644 nucleotides long. RefSeq lists it as uncharacterized. NCBI's taxonomy places the organism in Eukaryota, Metazoa, Chordata, Mammalia, Artiodactyla, Balaenopteridae. The record is from RefSeq and is a predicted model, not a curated record. The transcript is spliced from 2 exons.
UGCAGCGUUGGGUGCGCUCUGAGCCGGGAACGCUCAGGCAGGCGAGAUUCGCGAGAGUUUUGGUUUUUAGCGGUCCUCCUCUGUCACUCACUCCCAGCCUGAGAGGCUCAGAUAAGCCAGACCCCUGGAUCUGGGGAGGAAAGGGGCAUGGUGGGCACCAGCGCAGAACGCCUCGCGUCACAAAUGUGAAGACUGAGACGAUUCAGCAACUAAAGGCCCAGGAUUACACCUCAGGUCUCCUCGCGGAGUCACACCUCCAGGAUAUUUUUUUCUUUUAACAAGUAUCUCGCGGACUUCCCUGGUGGCACAGUGGUUAAGAAUCCACCUGCCAAUGUAGGGGACAUGGGUUCGAUCCCUGGUCCAGGAAGAUCCCACAUGCUGCGGAGCAACUAAGCCCACGCGCCACAACAACUGAAGCCCGCGUGCCUAGAGCCCGUGCUCUGCAACAAGAGAAGCCACCGCAAUGAGAAGCCCGCGCACCACAACGAAGAGCAGCCCCCGCUCGCCUCAACUAGAGAAAGCCCACAGGCAGCAGCGAAGACCCAACGCAGCCAAAAAAAACCCACCAUUUUUUUCUUUACCUUUAUGGGGAAAUAAUUUAUAUAAAAUACGUUUAAUAAAUUUAAAGUGUACAAUUUAGUUUU